RNAcentral lists this long non-coding RNA (152 nucleotides) under Mustela putorius furo (domestic ferret). RNAcentral's name for it is "lncRNA (ENSMPUG00000024937.1)". The record is from RNAcentral. Lineage: Eukaryota; Metazoa; Chordata; Mammalia; Carnivora; Mustelidae.
UCUAAGUCUACCGUAUCGACAUUAUAUACAGAUAUGAGAAAAGAAAGUCCUUGGAGACGGAGAGGCUGAAUAUUAAAGGUCAAGAAAUCCACCAGGGCAAUGGGCCAUUACCAUAUGAUGAAAUGGCUUCCAGGGCACAACACAUCUGCUGA